CGGGACACGUGGUAUCCUGUCUGAAUAUGGGGGGACCAUCCUCCAAGGCUAAAUACUCCUGACUGACCGAUAGUGAACCAGUACCGUGAGGGAAAGGCGAAAAGAACCCCGGCGAGGGGAGUGAAAAAGAACCUGAAACCGUGUACGUACAAGCAGUGGGAGCACGCUUAGGCGUGUGACUGCGUACCUUUUGUAUAAUGGGUCAGCGACUUAUAUUCUGUAGCAAGGUUAACCGAAUAGGGGAGCCGAAGGGAAACCGAGUCUUAACUGGGCGUUAAGUUGCAGGGUAUAGACCCGAAACCCGGUGAUCUAGCCAUGGGCAGGUUGAAGGUUGGGUAACACUAACUGGAGGACCGAACCGACUAAUGUUGAAAAAUUAGCGGAUGACUUGUGGCUGGGGGUGAAAGGCCAAUCAAACCGGGAGAUAGCUGGUUCUCCCCGAAAGCUAUUUAGGUAGCGCCUCGUGAAUUCAUCUCCGGGGGUAGAGCACUGUUUCGGCAAGGGGGUCAUCCCGACUUACCAACCCGAUGCAAACUGCGAAUACCGGAGAAUGUUAUCACGGGAGACACACGGCGGGUGCUAACGUCCGUCGUGAAGAGGGAAACAACCCAGACCGCCAGCUAAGGUCCCAAAGUCAUGGUUAAGUGGGAAACGAUGUGGGAAGGCCCAGACAGCCAGGAUGUUGGCUUAGAAGCAGCCAUCAUUUAAAGAAAGCGUAAUAGCUCACUGGUCGAGUCGGCCUGCGCGGAAGAUGUAACGGGGCUAAACCAUGCACCGAAGCUGCGGCAGCGACGCUGAUGCGUUGUUGGGUAGGGGAGCGUUCUGUAAGCCUGUGAAGGUGUGCUGUGAGGCAUGCUGGAGGUAUCAGAAGUGCGAAUGCUGACAUAAGUAACGAUAAAGCGGGUGAAAAGCCCGCUCGCCGGAAGACCAAGGGUUCCUGUCCAACGUUAAUCGGGGCAGGGUGAGUCGACCCCUAAGGCGAGGCCGAAAGGCGUAGUCGAUGGGAAACAGGUUAAUAUUCCUGUACUUGGUGUUACUGCGAAGGGGGGACGGAGAAGGCUAUGUUGGCCGGGCGACGGUUGUCCCGGUUUAAGCGUGUAGGCUGGUUUUCCAGGCAAAUCCGGAAAAUCAAGGCUGAGGCGUGAUGACGAGGCACUACGGUGCUGAAGCAACAAAUGCCCUGCUUCCAGGAAAAGCCUCUAAGCAUCAGGUAACAUCAAAUCGUACCCCAAACCGACACAGGUGGUCAGGUAGAGAAUACCAAGGCGCUUGAGAGAACUCGGGUGAAGGAACUAGGCAAAAUGGUGCCGUAACUUCGGGAGAAGGCACGCUGAUAUGUAGGUGAAGCGACUUGCUCGUGGAGCUGAAAUCAGUCGAAGAUACCAGCUGGCUGCAACUGUUUAUUAAAAACACAGCACUGUGCAAACACGAAAGUGGACGUAUACGGUGUGACGCCUGCCCGGUGCCGGAAGGUUAAUUGAUGGGGUCAGCGCAAGCGAAGCUCUUGAUCGAAGCCCCGGUAAACGGCGGCCGUAACUAUAACGGUCCUAAGGUAGCGAAAUUCCUUGUCGGGUAAGUUCCGACCUGCACGAAUGGCGUAAUGAUGGCCAGGCUGUCUCCACCCGAGACUCAGUGAAAUUGAACUCGCUGUGAAGAUGCAGUGUACCCGCGGCAAGACGGAAAGACCCCGUGAACCUUUACUAUAGCUUGACACUGAACAUUGAGCCUUGAUGUGUAGGAUAGGUGGGAGGCUUUGAAGUGUGGACGCCAGUCUGCAUGGAGCCGGCCUUGAAAUACCACCCUUUAAUGUUUGAUGUUCUAACGUUGACCCGUGAUCCGGGUUGCGGACAGUGUCUGGUGGGUAGUUUGACUGGGGCGGUCUCCUCCUAAAGAGUAACGGAGGAGCACGAAGGUUGGCUAAUCCUGGUCGGACAUCAGGAGGUUAGUGCAAUGGCAUAAGCCAGCUUGACUGCGAGCGUGACGGCGCGAGCAGGUGCGAAAGCAGGUCAUAGUGAUCCGGUGGUUCUGAAUGGAAGGGCCAUCGCUCAACGGAUAAAAGGUACUCCGGGGAUAACAGGCUGAUACCGCCCAAGAGUUCAUAUCGACGGCGGUGUUUGGCACCUCGAUGUCGGCUCAUCACAUCCUGGGGCUGAAGUAGGUCCCAAGGGUAUGGCUGUUCGCCAUUUAAAGUGGUACGCGAGCUGGGUUUAGAACGUCGUGAGACAGUUCGGUCCCUAUCUGCCGUGGGCGCUGGAGAACUGAGGGGGGCUGCUCCUAGUACGAGAGGACCGGAGUGGACGCAUCACUGGUGUUCGGGUUGUCAUGCCAAUGGCACU
Molecule: ribosomal RNA, 2336 nt
Filed under: Escherichia coli
Lineage: Bacteria; Pseudomonadati; Pseudomonadota; Gammaproteobacteria; Enterobacterales; Enterobacteriaceae
Description: partial 23S ribosomal RNA
Rfam family: Bacterial large subunit ribosomal RNA
Source: RNAcentral